UGAAACGGGAGCAAGCAAGCUGAAUGGCUCCAUUAAUUUAAUUGAAGCCAGCUCAGACAAGAGAUAAAACAUCCCAGCCUGCUUCUUUUCAUGAGCCGUGAGUGCUGUAGUAAACAGGCAGAGAUCCAAACCCCAAAUAGAAAUAAAGGUGCACGGGACACUCCAGUGACUUCAAGGCCAUGGGAUCUGACAGAUGCAGAGAUGAAUUAACCCUGAAGAGGCCUCAAGGUAUAGCACCAGGCCAGUACCGAGCACUGCCUAGGCCUCUUUCAGAAACUGAAUGACUCCGGGUUACAUAGUGCAAAGCUGCACGGCCACUAUUUAAGGCAGCGUGGCAGUUCAUCUGGAGAAUGGGAGUCGAAUACUCUUUUGUUACCACUGAAAUACUUGUUCAACCAUGUUCAUUGCUGUUUGCUAUUCCGAAAAGUAAAAAAUCAGAAGCCACCUAGAUGUCUCUCAUCAGAAGAAGGCGUAAAGAAAACCUGGUGCAAUCAGACAUUCUCUGGUAAAUGAAUGGAACUAGAAAAUUCAUCCUGAGUGAUUAAAGACAAAGAUGCAGAAGGAAACAAUCACAGAGAUCCAUGGAACAAUCAGCCCUACAAUGAAUGUCUCCACAAAUGUCUCCCUUCACGUCUCAGAAAAAACUAAGAAAGAAGAGGUGGAAAGAAUGAAAGAGACCGAGGAAUGGAAGACAGCAAUCAUCGCUUCUCGGCCUUUUGGCUAAGAUCAAGUGUGGAAGACAGCAACCUAUGUGACCCUCUAGAUGGCCAUGAGCAAAACUCAGAUGACCUUGCACAGACUGAAGGAGCAUGCACAGGGUCUGCAUUUGUCUGCACUAAAUCCUUUGCAUAUAUAUUAUGACUUCUACUUUAGUGUUAUUACGGAAUUGCAAAGGUGUGAUUGAGUGAGUCUUUGAUUCUUGGGCCUUCUCUCUCUUUCUUCUGAUUUUUGUUAUUGUUGUUUGUUUGUUUGUUUUGGUUUUAGUCCAGUAUGAUGUGUUAGUUUUUGCUUUUAUUUUGACUACACACACACGCACACACACACACACACACACACACACACACACACACACACACGCGCGCGCGCGAGUGCGCGCACACACACACACAUAUAUAAUUUACAUGUUAAUAUCCCUUGGAAGCCUGCUUUUUUUUUCUAAUCAGGGAUAGAGGAAGUGAGGAGGAAACAGGAGGAGGAGGAACCAUAUCAGGAUAUAUUAUGUGUGUAAAACAUGUUUUAAAUACAAGGCAAAGGAGAAAGAACUGAGAUAUCUCUCUAGCAUCUCUUUAAUAUGCAAAAUGCUACUAUUUCAUCACAUAAAAUUUGAAUGGAGAUUUUAUUGGAAGGUAACACACAGUGUUUGCUCUGAAGUUGUGUGAGGCUAUUAUAACUUUGAUAUCUACAAUGAUGCGUUGUCAACACAUGCUGUAUCUUUCUAAGCUAGCAGACCAUAAUGAACUCUGAUUAGUACAUUAAGAGGUGCCUUCAAUCCAAUUCCUGACUUCCACUAAGUUUUAUAAUAUAUUUAACUAAGAUAUCAACUGAAAUUCAUCAUUAAGACUUUAACAAUAUAUAUCCAGGACUCAUUUAUAUGUUUAUAGAAUACCUGUCUGAAGAUACCUAGAUAUUCAAAGUUCUGAGAUGCUGAGUUACUUCUCAGGAUUGUAUCCUUCAACGAUCCUGGCUCUGUAUUACAGUUUUCAUUCUCUUUUUGAGAAUUCCCUGUGUGUGACCCAGAGAAAAAAUAUACUAUACAGGUAAAAGAUAUUUAAGUGAUGAUUUUCAUGUGUGUAUAACAACUAGUAUAUAAAUAUGGACAGUCAUAGAAACAAAUGUCUUUAAAUGAGAAACUUUAUUUCAAUCUACUGUACACAAUAUCACAAUUAUCCAAGGAAUACAACAACUUAACCGAGAAAUGGAGGCUAUUUCAAUUUUGACAUUGUUAAUUGUUAUUCAAUUAUUCACUAUGAGAAGCCACCGAAUAGAAAUAACAAUAGUACAAACACCAAAUAGUAAAAGAUAUAUUUUUAGCAGAAAAAGGUCAAUAUUAAUUUUUAGGAUUGUUGGGACUAUACCAUAUCACCAAUGCUUAAUUAAUAGUGUAUAAAUUAUGGAGUAUGACUUAUUUUAAUAAUCUAAAAUAUUUUGUGUGAUACACAGUUUCUGUGAGAUUCUCAGUGUAUAGUAUAUGACAAUGGAAACUGGACUAUCUAAUAGUGAACCUUGGGUAAAUUUAUAUUGAAACUAUGUUUUAUGGUGAUAAUUCUCAGAAUUUUUACCGACUUUCUAAAAAUGGGAGAAGGGGUUCUUGUUUCACAAACAUGUGUGGUAAUCAAGAUUUCUUCCUUCCAGAGUGUGAGGGUGGUCAUUGAUUGUCCACACAGAAAAAAAUGUUAAGCAAUAUCUAUCAUUUUCGAUGUGAAGUUAAAUAAAAAUGGGCAAAUGAUAACAAAAACAGAUGACAAUAGGAGACUAAAGUGUUUAAGAAUAAAUAUUUCUGAAAAAACAUUUUUUAAAAAAUGGUUUAUGGACAAAAUGUCAAAUGUAAUUUUUUAACCUUUAAUAUUAUAAAUUAUUUGCAUAAAACAAUCAAGAAAAUGAUCUGUUAGCAGAAAAAUCACUCAUAAGUUAAUUAAAAUAAAGUUAUUUAUAAUGUCAUUAAUUCUAUUCUUUAAAUAUUUAAGAAACUUUAUAAUCUCUGGCCAAUAUUUAUGAUAAUCUUGAAUUCCUCAUAAAAAUUCUGGUAAUGAAGAACCAGAAUAUAAAGAUACAUCAAUAUUUUGACAUUAGAGUUAAUUAGUCAUUGUACUGUUUUUUUAUUUCAAUUAUAUACUUAACACUUUUAUAAUUAACUAAAAUUAAGAUACUAUAUGUGUAUUCAAUUGCUAUUUUUAAAAAGCAAGAUGAUACUACUCAAGAAAUUUGAACUUAUUAUUUAUACGCAAAAAUAUGGUAUCUGGUAGUAGUUUUGUCUAGGUAAAAUGAUAAAGCCCAUGUAACAACAACUUCCUCAAAGCAUUACCUUAAAUUAUUCUAGGGAAAAAAUCAUGACUGGCCCAAAGAAUUUCUUCCUCAUUUUGUAAAGUGCCUUUCAAAGAUAAGAGGGAAAAACAAGAAUCAUGAUGUUGAAACGUGAAGGCAAGUGCCUACAUGCUGGCAAAUUCCCCUCUUAGAUGUGUAAUAACCCUCUCAUUUGGCAUUUUAGUUUUUACUUUUCUGUCUUCAAUUGUUACUCUAUCUUUAUAUGUUGCACUCUUCUGAAGGCAUGGUGGGUGCUCUGAAAUACAUGAAUAGCAGUAAUAAGCAAGCUAAUAAUAUAGCAUAUUUUUCCACAGGUUAAGCUACAAAAAUAAUAUUGAUAUUAAUCAGAAAUCAAAGAAAUUGGAAUUGUAAACCCUUAAGUUUAGGACAUGAAGGAAUAAAACAAGACUAUAGUACUCAGACCAUCUUACUUAACAGCUGGAUUGUAGAAAAUUGCUCAGAGAAUGAUGGUUGUGUUAAUUUUCCCAUAUAGUCUCUGCUUCAGGCCAUGGAGUCAAGCCCUUAUAUUAGUAGAAGUAAUAGAUUAACAGAAAAUCUUGAGGUUUUUCUUGCUUUUUCUUAAGAGACAAAGACACACAAACAAACACACACACUAAAUUCUAUAGAACUUGGUUCACAGAAUCACUUCUAAUUUGUAUUGUAGUUUCUGCCUGUGUAAAUAUAUUGAAACCAGAUACCAGAAUUUGAGAAAUUCAUGUAGUGCUCUCUCUCUCUCUCUCUCUCUCUCUCUCUCUCUCUCUCUCUCUCUCUCUCUCUCUGCAUCUUAGUGAAGUAAAAGUUCUCUAUGAAGCCCCUUUCCCAGACAAGGGUAGAGACAGACCCACUAGAGAUGGCUGAGAAGAUACCUGCUGAGUGUAGGAAAGCUUCAUAGCAAGGCGUAAGUUCAGUAACCAAAGAUGCUAUUCGAGAAGGGCUGGAAAAGGUUAUCAUAACCAUGAAAAUGAAGGUCUUUCCACAAAAUUGCCCACAUCAAUUUCUGUUGUACUUAUAUGUGACUCACCAAUGUAACAUGUUUGAGCUUUCUUAGAUAAUUAUGGAGAAUGUGUGAUAAAAAUAAAGUCAGUUUUAGUGAAAGAGGCAGAUAUUUCAAUUCAUUGAUUAAGGUCUCUAGCAUAAUACGUUGAAAUGUUUUCAGUGAUCAGUAAUAACUGUGAAGUAUUUUGUUAAAGAAUUAGAAAAGUCGGGUGAGCUUUCAUCUGACUGAGGAGUCAUAAGCUUUACUUCCCAGUGUUUAUUUUUGUGUACUCUCUUCAUGAACUACAUGAAAUUUGACUGCUUGCUUCCUCAAUUUCUCAUUUGGUUUACAUGAUGAGCCCAUCACUAAAGUGAAUCCAUUGUUCUUAGAGACAAUGCCCUUGAGUUGCUGAACUACAGAUUCCACUAGACAUAUUUAGUCAAAAUUACUUUUUUCUUUUUUCCGGAAUGUGGCAUUUGUUGGGUGUCUGUGUGUGCUUAUGCUUAUGUAUGUGCACAUCUGCAUGAGUAAUUAAGCUAGGAUCAUCUAGAAGAAAGUCCCUUUGUGAAUAAACUCCUCUAUUGUCUUGUUGAGAUCCAUUUUCUAAUAUACUCUUGGCCAAAAAUCGUCCUGUUCUAGAAACUAGAUUUUAACACAAGCAAUCCAUGAUGCCCUGUUCUAGUCACAUAUGCAGUUACCAUGAUGAUAGAUAGGUUCAGAGAGGACUGUUACAUGUGCAGCCCACAUGUUUCAAGCCUUUCUAACUCUGAUUUCUCUUUAAUAUGAUAAGAGGGCAGUUUUAGCAUUCUUGUGUUCCAUUUUCCUCCUGGUGGGAUAUUUUUCACCAACACAGAUGUGUUUUAAAACUGUAUUCUGAAUUUACUUGCAAAUUUUAAAAAUAGUAAACUUUUACCAAAGGAAAGAAGUCUGCAUUCAAAGAACUAUACAUAUCAAUCAGAGUACUACUGACAUGGGCACAGAGCUUUACCACUUUUCUUACUGUCCCUUCAAAAUUUAAGGUGAUGCAUUUCAAAUCUCGAAACUUUAAAUGAAUGAAAAAUUGUAUUAUCUGAGGAAGAACAAAAUCAAUAGAUAUGAAACAGAUGAAAAUUCUUAAACGCUAUCAUGGCUAUCAAUAUUAAUGUGGUAUAAAACAAAGUAAGUUGCAUUUAUUGCAUGAAAUAUUAUUACAUUUUGUCUCACUGUGUCUUGUUUUUAUCAAUAUAAACAUAUUUACGUUGCAUUUAAUAAGUAAAAUGAAAUAUAGUGUUAUCAUGUAUAAUUAGAAUCUUCUUUGGGAAGACUACUGCUAAUAAUAACUGUAAUGAUAGUAUUUAAAGGACUAUGAAAUUUUAAUUUUUUAUACAGGAUAUAUCUUUAAAGAUCAAUAAAAGCAAAUUGAUAUAUACAA
Non-coding RNA from Rattus norvegicus (Norway rat), 5408 nucleotides. NCBI's taxonomy places the organism in Eukaryota, Metazoa, Chordata, Mammalia, Rodentia, Muridae. The record is from RefSeq and is a predicted model, not a curated record.